GACGAACGCUGGCGGCGUGCCUAAUACAUGCAAGUCGAACGAGAGCGACCGGUGCUUGCACUGGUCAAUCUAGUGGCGAACGGGUGAGUAACACGUGGGUAACCUGCCCAUCAGAGGGGGAUAACAUCCGGAAACGGAUGCUAAAACCGCAUAGGUCUUCGAACCGCAUGGUUUGAAGAGGAAAAGAGGCGCAAGCUUCUGCUGAUGGAUGGACCCGCGGUGCAUUAGCUAGUUGGUGAGGUAACGGCUCACCAAGGCCGUGAUGCAUAGCCGACCUGAGAGGGUGAUCGGCCACAUUGGGACUGAGACACGGCCCAAACUCCUACGGGAGGCAGCAGUAGGGAAUCUUACGCAAUGGACGCAGGUCUGACGGAGCAACGCCGCGUGAGUGAAGAAGGUUUUCGGAUCGGAAAACUCUGUUGUUAGAGAAGAACAAGUGCUAGAGUAACUGUUAGCGCCUUGACGGUAUCUAAACAGAAAGCCACGGCUAACUACGUG
RNAcentral lists this ribosomal RNA (498 nucleotides) under uncultured bacterium. RNAcentral describes it as "partial 16S ribosomal RNA". It matches the Rfam family "Bacterial small subunit ribosomal RNA", at positions 28 to 507 of the family's 1533-position model. The record is from RNAcentral.